UGGGGAAUAUUGCACAAUGGGCGAAAGCCUGAUGCGGCGAUGCCGCGUAGAGGAUGAAGGUCUUCGGAUUGUAAACUCCUGUUAAACGGGAAGAAAUCUUCAUAAGCAAUAUGUGUGAAGGACGACGGUACCGUUAGAGAAAGCUCCGGCUAACUUCGUGCCAGCAGCCGCGGUAAUACGAAGGGAGCAAGCGUUAUUCGGAAUUACUGGGCGUAAAGAGCGUGUAGGCGGUUGGUUAAGUCAGUUGUUAAAGCCCCCGGCUUAACUGGGGAUCGGCAAUUGAUACUGAUUGGCUAGAGGGCAAGAGAGAGAAGUGGAAUACUCGGAGUAGCGGUAAAAUGCAUAGAUCUCGAGAGGAACACCAGUUGCGAAGGCGGCUUCUUGGCUUGUGCCUGACGCUAAAGCGCGAAAGCGUGGGGAGCAAACAGGAUUAGAUACCCUGGUAGUCCACGCGGUAAACACUGAUCACUGGAUGUGGGGUCUGUUUAACAGGUCCCGUGUCGAAGUUAACGCGUUAAGUGAUCCGCCUGGGGAGUACGGUCGCAAGAUUA
RNAcentral lists this ribosomal RNA (551 nucleotides) under uncultured bacterium. RNAcentral describes it as "bacterial SSU rRNA". It matches the Rfam family "Bacterial small subunit ribosomal RNA", at positions 355 to 896 of the family's 1533-position model. The record is from RNAcentral.